RNAcentral lists this ribosomal RNA (254 nucleotides) under uncultured bacterium. RNAcentral's name for it is "partial 16S ribosomal RNA". It matches the Rfam family "Bacterial small subunit ribosomal RNA", at positions 524 to 776 of the family's 1533-position model. RNAcentral also lists the same sequence under 1 other name. The record is from RNAcentral.
CACGUAGGGGGCGAGCGUUGUCCGGAUUUAUUGGGCGUAAAGAGCUCGUAGGUGGUUCGAUAAGUCGGGUGUGAAACCUCCAGGCUCAACCUGGAGACGCCACCCGAUACUGUCGUGACUAGAGUCCAGUAGGGGAGCGUGGAAUUCCUGGUGUAGCGGUGAAAUGCGCAGAUAUCAGGAGGAACACCAGCGGCGAAGGCGGCGCUCUGGGCUGGCACUGACACUGAGGAGCGAAAGCGUGGGGAGCGAACAGG